GCCCACCUGCAGUUCAGGUAUUGCCCGGCCGAUGCUAAUCGCGGCCACUGCCCUUACAAGUUGUCUCUCAUCUAGAGCUUGUCAGUACAACGGUUGUCCCAUGCAUUACUCGCUUAAAAAUUUAUUCAUGGAUGCCACCAAGAACCCACGCCUAUGCUCUCUCUCUCAAUUUGUUGAAACAUAUAGCAAUCUUCUUGUGUACUAAUUGACUUUAUGGCCAAAUUUUCUCUGUACAUGAUGCUACUAAUCUAAUAUUGGAAAAGAUUUACUAUGAGAUGAGUGUGUAUCAGGGUUGAAAAUUUUAUUUUAGGAUCCUCUUGUGGUUUUUGAGGACUCAAAUCAUGUAUUCUGUACACAUGAGUGAAUUUCAGUUUGCCGGAGAAGAGACAUUGCCAUGGCCGAUGUUGGCUGUUCGUGCAUGGACGUGCCUGUAUUCCAUUCGAAAACCUGGGAGCAUGCCCAAAAAGUUCAGAAAUAUCAAUGGUAAAAGUUAGAAUAUUUGGAGGUUGAUGCUUUGUGUGUGUAUACAUGGGUGCACAUUUUCUUUUUCAUGAUAUGUAGCUCAACAAUGCCGUAAAUUCCACCGGAAUUUGUUCCAUUUAGCAAUUUGUGUUAUGAUGAUUCAGUACUUGUUUACAAAAAAAUGCCAUUUUUUGCAGCAAAAUGUUUGUGAAAAAAAUGUAGUGAAACAUUGUGCUCUCAAGAGUGUUUGAUAUGCUCAAAAAAGUGUUUUGAUGAAUUGGUUUAUUUGAAGUUCAAAUUGGUUUGUUGAAGAAGGUCGACUCUAUCCUGGACACCACACAGCCUCCUCCCAGUGGGGCCCAUCAAGCUCAGGUCGUUCGUCGCUGCCACCUCCGGCCGUUCAACUACGCAGCGCUAAGACGUUCACCGCCAGCAGAAACAGCGACGAGCACGAAGACACCCUCUCAUGCUCAGUGCUCUGUCCGGCAUAACACAAGAAGUUCAUGUAAAACAGCUGCGAACAUUCAGGUACAUCAAAGAAUAUACUCAUGUGUGCAUAUAGAUGAGUUCUCACCUACCCAUUUUGCUCUCGAUGGUGCUUCUGUAGUUCAGCUUGAGUGUGUGAGAGAGAUUAGUUGAUGUUGUUAUCCUUGUUUUUUCUGAGAGAGAUUAGCUCGCCCCUCCUCCAUCGAUGGCCUACACCGUCCGCUAGAACCCGUCCAGGUGCUGGCCGUCAUCCUCUACCUUCAAUUACGGGUCAGCAACAACGUUGCGAAUAGAAAGGUCAGCAUCUGGCCCUCUAGAAGUUCAGUUUGUUGAUUUUCUGAAGUUUUUAAAUUGGACUAUAACCGUGUAUAUUUUGCAGGGCCCUGUGAAGUUCAAUUUGUUUUGCUUUCCGAAGUUUAGUUUGUUGAUUUUCUGAAGUUUGGAUUGUUAAUUUUUUGAAGAGAAAGGUUGAUUCACUUGCACUCCUCUAUCUAGUCCUCUGUGGUGAUAUCCUCGACUCCUCGGUUCGGAGCUAGCAGCGGUUCUUCAACUUCCCUGCUGUGUUGUCGCGAUUGUUGGUAAAUAAUUUGUUCUACUAUUUCCUUGUAGUAAUGCUGGAUGGGUUCCCCCUUGUUGUGGAACCAUAAUAAUAUAAGUUUGUCUCUGCGCUCCUGUUCCUGUGAUUACAAUAGCAGAGAAAAGUACCAAGGGUCAGAACCAAACCAGAGUGAACCAUACGAAUCAGAACAUGGUCAUUUGGAACCAACUCUAAUCAUUUGUUCAUCUAACUGCAGUAGAGACAAAUUUUAUACUUUGUUCAUCUACGGUGCCAAGUUGAGCGGACACCGUAGCGCUCGAGAAGAUGGGGAGAGGGUGUGUGGUGAAGAGAAAACAUAGGGUUUCAAAUUGUCCAUUGGUGGUAGCAUCUAAUCAUUUUACCAAAGUGUAAUGGACAUGUGUAUGUAUGUACAGUAGCAUAUUUUACUCAAACCGAGUUAUUUUUUUAAUGCACGAAGUUUGUCCAGCCAAAAAAACAUGUAUUAAACUGGUUUUUGUGUAUUUUUCUAACCUUUUCUACACCUUUCUAC
RNAcentral lists this long non-coding RNA (2036 nucleotides) under Triticum aestivum (bread wheat). Its description in RNAcentral is "long non-coding RNA (TAES_LNC006488)". Lineage: Eukaryota; Viridiplantae; Streptophyta; Magnoliopsida; Poales; Poaceae. The record is from RNAcentral.